RNAcentral lists this ribosomal RNA (570 nucleotides) under Melampsora sp. TSH-R8778. Its description in RNAcentral is "eukaryotic LSU rRNA". It matches the Rfam family "Eukaryotic large subunit ribosomal RNA", at positions 82 to 635 of the family's 3401-position model. Lineage: Eukaryota; Fungi; Basidiomycota; Pucciniomycetes; Pucciniales; Melampsoraceae. The record is from RNAcentral.
AGUAACGGCGAGUGAACAGGGAAAAGCCCAAAUUUGUAAUCUGGCACUUUUUACAAGUGUCCGAGUUGUAAUUUGUAGAGCUGUUAUCCGUACUGGACCAUGUACAAGUCUGUUGAAAAGCAGCAUCAUUGAAGGUGAAAAUCCUGUAGAUGAUAUGGACUACCAGUAUAUUUGUGAUACGGUUUCUAAGAGUCGAGUUGUUUGGGAAUGCAGCUCAAAGUGGGUGGUAAAUUCCAUCUAAGGCUAAAUAUAAGUGAGAGACCGAUAGCAAACAAGUACCGUGAGGGAAAGAUGAAAAGAACUUUGAAAAUAGAGUUAACAGUACGUGAAAUUGCUGAAAGGGAAACGUUUGAAGUUAGUUUUGUAUUCGUUGGAUCAGCUUCGCAAGGAGUGUAUUCUGAUGAUAAGCAAGUCAACAUCAGUCUAUGAGUGUUGGAUAAGGGUUUUGAGAAUGUAGCAAUUUAAUUGUGUUAUAGCUUGAGACUUGGAUACAAUGCUUUGGAUUGAGGAACGCGUAGUAAGCUUUGAGCGGAUUCGAAAGGAUCUCCUUACUAUGGAUGUUGGUGAAAU